Molecule: non-coding RNA, 45 nt
Organism: Schistosoma rodhaini
Lineage: Eukaryota; Metazoa; Platyhelminthes; Trematoda; Strigeidida; Schistosomatidae
Source: Rfam
AUCCGGCUGACGAGUCCCAAAUAAGACGGGAUGUAUGUCCUGGAU